This 433-nucleotide ribosomal RNA is filed under the name uncultured bacterium. Its description in RNAcentral is "partial 16S ribosomal RNA". It matches the Rfam family "Bacterial small subunit ribosomal RNA", at positions 29 to 507 of the family's 1533-position model. The record is from RNAcentral.
AACGAACGCUGGCGGCAUGCCUAACACAUGCAAGUCGAACGAGACCUUCGGGUCUAGUGGCGCACGGGUGCGUAACGCGUGGGAACCUGCCCUUAGGUUCGGAAUAACUCCCCGAAAGGGGUGCUAAUACCGGAUAAUGUCUUCGGACCAAAGAUUUAUCGCCUUUGGAUGGGCCCGCGUUGGAUUAGCUAGUUGGUAGGGUAAAAGCCUACCAAGGCGACGAUCCAUAGCUGGUCUGAGAGGAUGAUCAGCCACACUGGGACUGAGACACGGCCCAGACUCCUGCGGGAGGCAGCAGUAGGGAAUAUUGGACAAGGGGCGAAAGCCUGAUCCAGCAAUGCCGCGUGAGUGAUGAAGGCCUUAGGGUUGUAAAGCUCUUUUACCCGGGAUGAUAAUGACAGUACCGGGAGAAUAAGCUCCGGCUAACUCCGUG